GACGAACGCUGGCGGCGUGCUUAACACAUGCAAGUCGAACGGAAAGGCCCUGCUUUUGUGGGGUGCUCGAGUGGCGAACGGGUGAGUAACACGUGAGUAACCUGCCCUUGACUUUGGGAUAACUUCAGGAAACUGGGGCUAAUACCGGAUAGGAGCUCCUGCUGCAUGGUGGGGGUUGGAAAGUUUCGGCGGUUGGGGAUGGACUCGCGGCUUAUCAGCUGGUUGGUGGGGUAGUGGCUUACCAAGGCGUUGACGGGUAGCCGGCCUGAGAGGGUGACCGGCCACAUUGGGACUGAGAUACGGCCCAGACUCCUACGGGAGGCAGCAGUGGGGAAUAUUGCACAAUGGGCGGAAGCCUGAUGCAGCAACGCCGCGUGCGGGAUGACGGCCUUCGGGUUGUAAACCGCUUUCGCCUGUGACGAAGCGUGAGUGACGGUAAUGGGUAAAGAAGCACCGGCUAACUACGUG
Molecule: ribosomal RNA, 468 nt
Filed under: uncultured bacterium
Lineage: Bacteria
Description: partial 16S ribosomal RNA
Rfam family: Bacterial small subunit ribosomal RNA
Source: RNAcentral